This 72-nucleotide transfer RNA is filed under the name Camelus bactrianus (Bactrian camel). It matches the Rfam family "tRNA". Rfam says of the family: Transfer RNA (tRNA) molecules are approximately 80 nucleotides in length. Lineage: Eukaryota; Metazoa; Chordata; Mammalia; Artiodactyla; Camelidae. The record is from Rfam by way of RNAcentral. RNAcentral also lists the same sequence under 2 other names.
AAGGGUAUAGCUCAGUGGUAGAGCGCAUGCUUAGCAUUCACGAGGUCCUAGGUUCAUUCCCUAGUAUCUUCA